AACAUCAUCUUCACCAUCUUGGACUUCUUCUGACAUUUUGAGGUCUUUUUCUUUUGCUUGAUUUUCCUCUUUGCUCACUGUUUCAUCCUCAUUCAAUUCAGAUUCAACCUUCUCUAAUCCUGUCACUUCAUGGACUUCCUUAACCAGGGAGCUUUCAGACUUUUCUGUUUGACCAUCAUCAUUGACUACAUCCUCCUUUUUUUCUAUGGUUUCGACACUAGAUUUGAUUUCUUCAGUGUCUUCCUCUAUACUUUCUCUAGUUUCAAAAAACUCAGGUUCUUUACCUUCUUCUUGGUAGUUCUUUUUUUGCAAGUCUUCUUCUAAUGCUGCAACCUGUGAGGUUGUUACAUUGUCCUCACCUUGACCUUCUGCCGACAUGUUGACCUGAUCCUUUUCUUGAUCUUCAUCUUUAAAAGUUUCUAUUGCUUUUAUCCCUUCUUCAGAUUCAACCUUUUCCGAACUAGUCUCAUCACAUACCUCUUUGACAGAGUGGAUAGGAGGCGUUUCCAUUUGAUCAUCAUCAUGCUCAAUAGGCUCUUUGUUUUUUUCUUCAGUUUCUGUUUUCUCUUCUUGAGAUUCCACUUGUGCUGAUGUGAAAACAUCAGUUGUGAUGGCAUGUGGCAACUCUCCUUGCUCCACUUUUUCUUUUGUUUUAACAUUUGUGCUUAUAAGUUCAUUAUCUUCCUCCAUGCUUUCUCUAGUUUCAAAAAAUACAUCCUCAGAGGCUGCAACUGUAUCCUGUGAGCAUAUAACUUCAUCCUCACUUUGGUCUUUUUCUGGUAUGUUGAGCUCUUGUUCCUUUUCUUGAUAUUCAUCUUUGCUUAAAAUUUCUAUUUCUUUCUCAUUCUGAUACAUAUCGGAAUUUAUCCCUUCUUCAGAUACAGUCUUCUUUAAGUCAGUCUCUUCACAUACUUCCUGUUGCUCCUUUUCAUCUGUUUCAACACUUGGUUUGAUUUCUUCAGUAUACAUCUCUUGCUCAAAAAUUAUGCUGGCACUUUCUUCUAUUUUAUCUUUUGCUCCAUUAUCAUCAUACUGCUCGCUUGCCUAUAUGAAGAGUGUAUUUUGAGUACAUGGGCAGAAUGGACAAUACAGAACUUGGUAAGUCUAAUGUAUAGUCAAAGUUUGUAAAACAAUCUGUGUAACAGCUUAGUUUAUUGGUCUCUUUUUCAAAAGAAAAUUAUGAGCAGCAUUUGCUCUAAAGUCUAAACUACUUUAUAAAACGGGUUUCCCUUAGAAUUUAUCAUUUUCAUAAAUAUCCACAACUUGCUUUUCUUCUAGUUCUAUACCCCUCCCCAAUUGUACUGUUCAAUUGAAUAAAUCAAGUUCUGUAUUUGAAGUUACACUUAAUAUGCUCUAUAAAAUAUGUAUUUUAUCUUGUUUAGGGCCCUUAAAAUGGUCUAAUAUAUAUAUAUNNNNNNNNNNNNNNNNNNNUAUAUAUAUAUAUAUAUAUAUAUAUAUUUGUAAGAGAUACUUGAACUACCGAGUUGAACAACUUAUGCAUUUGUUACUUUCUCAAACACAUGAGAUGAGAAAUUUUGUAGCAGACAACAUAAUGUCUUGAUAAUUUUAGCAUUGCAAGUUUAGUUGGAAUGAUGUACAAGUAAAACCUUUUGAAAUAAUUAGAGAUUACUUAAGAUGAACAUAAAUUACCUCUUGAGCAUGAAUUGAUUUGUCUUCUAUUUCUUCCUUGAGGAUCUCUUUGGUCAAUGCACUAUCAUCUUUGCUCUCCUCAAAAUCAACCACUGUGGUAACAUGUUGACCAAUUGUUGACUCUUGUAUAUCCUCACACGUUGCAUCUUCUGAACUUGUAACGGCAUCCCCACCACCUUGGACUUCUUCUGGCAUUUUGAGUUCAUGUUCCUUUUCUUGAUUUUCCUCUUUGCUCACUAUCUCAUUCUCAUUCAAUUCAGGUUUAGCCUUCUCUGAUCCUGUCACUUCACACACCUCCUUAACCAAUGGGCUUUCAAACUCAUCAUUGACUAUAGCAUCUUCCUCAAUCUUUUCUUCAUUUUCCAUAGUUUCUUUUUUAGGUUCUAUUUCUGUUGAGCUGCAAACAUCAGUAGUAAUGACAUGCAGCAACCCUUGUUGCUCCAUAUUUUCUUUUGUUUCUAUACUAGAUUCGAUUUCUUCAAUGUUUUCCUCUACACUUUCUCUCGUUUCAACAACUUCAGGUUCUUUACCUUCUUCUUGGUAGUUCUUUUCUUGCAAGUCUUCUUCUAAGGCUGCAACCUGUGAGCUUGUUACAUUAUCCUCGCCUUGACCUUCUGUUGACAUGUCAACCUGAUCCUUUUCUUGUUCUUCAUCCUUGAAAGUUUCAAUAGCUUUUACCUCUUGUUCAGAUUCAACCUUUUUUGAGCUAGUCUCAUCGCAUACCUCCUUGGUAGUCUCUUCAUAAACCUCCUUCAUAGACUCUUCAUUCUUUUGUUCAGUUUCCGUGGUCUCUUCUUGAGAUUCUGUUUGUGCUGAUAUGCAAGCUACCUCUUGAGCAUCACUUGGUUUUUCCUCUGUUUCUUCCAUAAGGAUCUCUUUAGGCAUUAAACCUAUCGCUUGUCCCUCCUCUAAAUAGGCCACUGUAGUGUCCUGUUGACCAACUGUUGUUUCUUUUAUAUCCUCACACGUUGCAUCUUUUGAACUUGUAGUUGUAACAUCAUCCCCUAAACCUUUUCCUGACACAUAAACCUCUUGUUCCUUUUCUUCAUCUUCAACUUUGUUCACUAUUUCUUUCUCAUUUGUUGUUUCUUUUACCUCUUCGCUAUAUUCAACUUUCUCUGAACUGGUCUCUUCACAUACUUCAUUGACUGGGGAGCUGUCAACAUUUUCCUUUUGACCAUUAUCACUCUGAAUAGGCUCGUCACUUUUUACUUCAUGUUCUUCACUUUCUACCUGAGAUUUUGUUUGUGAUGUGAUGCAAUCAUCAUGCAACAGUUCUUGCUGCUUGGUUUCAACACUUGGUUUGAUUUCUUUAGUAUCUUCCUCUUGCUCAAUCUCUGAACAAGAUUGAACAGUUUUGUUGUCGCUUUCAUCAGGCUUUUGUUCUGUUUUGUCCUAUUAGAGAAAAAGUAUUCAGUUAGAUAUGAUGAUUUAUAUAAAUAGGCUCAAAGUUUUUAAAAACAAUCUCUGUGGUAGGUUUUUUUCAUUGUUCUUUUUUAAGAUAAUUGUGAGUGACAGUUGUUCUUUAUAACAUUAACAUGAUUCUACAUUGCUUAGUAAUAAAACAUUAAAAGUUUUAGUAGGAAAGAUAUACAAGUAAAACCUUUUGGAUUGUUCAGAGUUAACAUGGGAUGAACACGAAUUACCUCUUGAGCAUCAAUUGCACUCUGAUUCGGCUCCUCGAACUCGAUAUCAGCCACUGGGGUAGCCUUUUGACCAAUUAUUGUUUCUUUUAUAUCCUCGCUGGAUGCAUUCUGUGAGCUUGUAACAUCAUCUCCACCACCUUGGACUUCUUUUGACAUUUUAAUCUCUUGUUCCUUUUCUUGAUUUUCCUCAUUGUUCACUAUUUCAUUCUCAUUCAAUUCAGAUUCAGCCUUCUCUGAGCUUGUUGCUUCACAUACUUCCUUCACCAAGGGGCUUUCAGACUUAUCUGUUUGACCAUCAUCAUUCACCAAUGCCUCUUCAUCAAUCUUUAUAUCAUCUUUUGUUUCGGCACUAGAUUUGAUUUCUUCAGUAUCUUCCUCUAAAUACUCUCUAGGUUUGACAAAUUCGGGUUCCUUACCUUCAUCAUCAUAUUUUGUUUCUGGUAAGUCCUGUAUAGAAGUUGCAUCUUGUGAGAAAGUGACAUCAUCUUUUCCUUGGUCUUCUUCUGAAAUGAUGGACUCUUGUUCUUGUUCUUGUUCUUUUUCUUUUUCUUGAUGUUCAUCUUUGUCAGAAGGUUCUACCCCUUCAAAUUUACCCUUCUCUAAGUGAGUUUCUUCACAUACUUCAGUCACAUCUUCAUCGUCUGUAAUCUUUACCUGCUCCUUUUCAUCUGUUUCCACACUUGGCUUGAUUUCUUCAGCAUUUUCAUUUUUGUUGACACUUUCCUCGGGCUUUUGUUCUAUUUUUUCAUUUGCUCCACUCUCAUCCUGCUCACUUGCCUAUAUGAACACAAGUAUUUUGAGUACAUGUGGAGAAUAAAAGUAACACAUCAUGAUAAGUCUAAUGCAUAGUCAAACUUUUAAAACAAUCUUUGUGGCAGCUUCAAAAAAAUUUGUGAGCCAAAUUUGCUAUAAACUACUUUAUAGAAUGGUUUUCUCUAAACAUUUAUCGUUUUAUGAACUCUAACUCUUCUCAACAAAUGAAACUAAACGUUUGGAUGAGACAAGCAUUUGACAUUAAAAUUAUGUAUGAAAAUCAUAAUAUUGUCUUAUACUUUUAUAAAUUAAACAUAAAACUAGUAAGAAUUAGCCUUAACAUUUAACAAUACAUUAGUAUAAUAUGUGAUUUUUAGUUUCUCUUACACAUGAGAUAAGAAAAUAUGUAGCAGACAACAACAUUUCCAUAUGUCAUAAUGAUUAUAGCAUUUCAAAUUCUAGUAAGACUGAUCUACAAUUAAAACUGUAAAACCUUUUAGGAAUAGUUAGGUUUACUUAGAAUGAACAUGAAUUACCUCUUGCACAUCAGUUGAUUUGUCCUCUGCUUCUUCCUUAAGGAUCUCCUUAGGCGUUGAGUUUAGAGCCUGUUCCUCCUCUAAAUAGGCCACUGUAGUAACAUGCUCACCAGUUGUUGUUUCUUUUAUAUCCUCAAAUGUUGCAUCUUGUGAACUUGUAACAUCAUCCCCUAAACCUUUUCCUGACACAUAAACCUCUUGUUCCUUUUCUUCAUCUUCAACUUUGCUUGCUAUUUCGUUUUCAUUCAGAUCGAUAUUAACACUGUCAGAAAGUUUUAACCCUUCUUCAGAUUCAACCUUCUCUGAGACAGUCUCUUCACAUACUUCCUUCACCAUGGUCUCUGUAUUAGAACUAUCAGAGUAGUUCACCUCUUCUUUAUAUUCAAUUUUCUCUGAACUAGCCUCUUCACAUACUUCAACACUUGGUUUGGUUUCUUCAGUAUCUUUCUCUUGCUCAAUUUCUGAACCAGACUGUACAAUUUUGUUGUCACUUUCUGCAGACUUUUGUUCUUUUUUGUCCUAUUAGAGAAGAAAUAUUCAGUAUAUUAUACGACUGAAAGAAAAGAAAUGAUGAUUUAUAUAAACAGGCUUAAAGUUUUUAAAAACAAUCUUAAGGGUAGGUUUUUUUCAUUGUUAUUCUAUAAAAUAAAUGUGAGCGACAGUUGUACUUUAUAACAUGAAUCUACAUUGGUUAGUGAUAAAAAAAAGCAUUUCAAGUUUUAGUUGGAAUGAUGUACAAGUAAAACCUUUUGGAUUGUUUAGGAGUUAACAUGGUAUGAACAUGAUUUACCUCUUGAACAUCAAUCACACUCUGAUUCUGCUCCUCGAACUCGAUAUUAGCCACUGGGGUAGCCUGUUGACCAAUUGUUGUUUCUUUUAUAUCCUCACUGGAUGCAUUCUGUGAUCUUGUAACAUCAUCUCCACCACCUUGGACUUCUUCUGACAUUUUAAGCUCUUGUUCCUUUUCUUGAUUUUCCUCUUUGCUCACUAUUUCGUUCUCAUUCAAUUCAGAUUCAGCCUUCUCUGAGGUUGUCGCAUCAUAUACUUCCUUCACCAAGGGGCUUUCAGACUUCUUUGUUUGAUCAUCAUCAUUCACUAAUGCCUCUUCAUCAAUCUUUAUAUCAUCUUUUGUAUCAGCACUAGAUUUGAUUUCUUGAGUAUCUUCGUCUAUAUUCUCUCUAGGUUUGACAAAUACAGGUAAGUUCUCUAUAGUGGUUGCAUCUUGUGAGCAUGUGAUAUCAUCUUUUCCUUGGUCUUCUUCUGAAAUGAUGGACUCUUGUUCUUUUUCUUUUUCUUGAUCUUUAUCAUUGUCAGAAGGUUCUACCCCUUCAAAAUUUCCCUUCUCUAAUUGAGUUUCUGCACAUACUUCAAUCACAUCUUCUUCAUAGUCUGUAAUCUUCACUUGUUCCUUUUCAUCUAUUUCCACACUUGGCUUGAUUUCUUCGGUAUCUUCAAUUUUGUUGACAAUUUCCUCGGGAUUUUGUUCUAUUUUUUCGUUUGCUCCACUCUC
This 6095-nucleotide long non-coding RNA is filed under the name Lactuca sativa (garden lettuce). RNAcentral describes it as "long non-coding RNA (LSAT_LNC004763)". The record is from RNAcentral. Lineage: Eukaryota; Viridiplantae; Streptophyta; Magnoliopsida; Asterales; Asteraceae.